This 445-nucleotide ribosomal RNA is filed under the name uncultured bacterium. RNAcentral's name for it is "partial 16S ribosomal RNA". It matches the Rfam family "Bacterial small subunit ribosomal RNA", at positions 338 to 795 of the family's 1533-position model. The record is from RNAcentral.
CCUACGGGAGGCAGCAGUCGAGAAUCAUUCACAAUGGGGGAAACCCUGAUGGUGCGACGCCGCGUGGGGGAAUGAAGGUCUUCGGAUUGUAAACCCCUGUCAUGUGGGAGCAAAUUAAAAAGAUAGUACCACAAGAGGAAGAGACGGCUAACUCUGUGCCAGCAGCCGCGGUAAUACAGAGGUCUCAAGCGUUGUUCGGAAUCACUGGGCGUAAAGCGUUCGUAGGCUGUUUCGUAAGUCGUGUGUGAAAGGCGCGGACUAAACCGGCGGACGGCACAUGAUACUGCGAGACUAGAGUAAUGGAGGGGGAACCGGAAUUCUCGGUGUAGCAGUGAAAUGCGUAGAUAUCGAGAGGAACACUUGUGGCGAAGGCGGGUUCCUGGACAUUAACUGACGCUGAGGCACGAAGGCCAGGGGAGCGAAAGGGAUUAGAUACCCUGUAGUC